GACGAACGCUGGCGGCGUGCUUAACACAUGCAAGUCGAACGGUGAAGGGGUCUGCUUUUGUGGGCCCUGGAUGAGUGGCGAACGGGUGAGUAACACGUGAGUAACCUGCCCCCUUCUUCUGGAUAACCGCAUGAAAGUGUGGCUAAUACGGGAUAUUCUGGGUCUGUCGCAUGAUGGGUCUGGGAAAGAUUGCGCCUUUGGGUGUUUUUGGUGGGGGAUGGGCUCGCGGCCUAUCAGCUUGUUGGUGGGGUGAUGGCCUACCAAGGCGGUGACGGGUAGCCGGACUGAGAGGGUGGACGGUCACACUGGGACUGAGACACGGCCCAGACUCCUACGGGAGGCAGCAGUGGGGAAUAUUGCACAAUGGGCGCAAGCCUGAUGCAGCGACGCCGCGUGAGGGAUGGAGGCCUUCGGGGUGUAAACCUCUUUCGCCAGUGAAGCAGGCCUGCUCCUUGUGGGUGGGUUGACGGUAGCUGGAUAAGAAGCGCCGGCUAACUACGUG
This 502-nucleotide ribosomal RNA is filed under the name uncultured bacterium. RNAcentral describes it as "partial 16S ribosomal RNA". It matches the Rfam family "Bacterial small subunit ribosomal RNA", at positions 28 to 507 of the family's 1533-position model. The record is from RNAcentral.